This 159-nucleotide ribosomal RNA is filed under the name Larcopyle buetschlii. Its description in RNAcentral is "Larcopyle butschlii 5.8S ribosomal RNA". It matches the Rfam family "5.8S ribosomal RNA". From Rfam's summary of the family: 5.8S ribosomal RNA (5.8S rRNA) is a component of the large subunit of the eukaryotic ribosome. It is transcribed by RNA polymerase I as part of the 45S precursor that also contains 18S and 28S rRNA. Lineage: Eukaryota; Polycystinea; Spumellaria; Litheliidae. The record is from RNAcentral.
AUAUCUUUCAACGAUGGAUCUCUUGGUUCCCGCAACGAUGAAGAACGCCGCGAAACGCGAUAUGUAAUGUGAAUUGCAGGAUUAAGCGAAUCAUCAAAUCUUUGAACGCAAAUUGCGCUCAGUUUUCGCGACUGAGCAUACCUGGUUCAGUUUCGUUUU